UUUUUGUUACCGGGGGUACUUAAGCAUAUCAAUAAGCGGAGGAAAAGAAACCAACAGGGAUUGCCCUAGUAACGGCGAGUGAAGCGGCAACAGCUCAAAUUUGAAAUCUGGCGUCUUCGGCGUCCGAGUUGUAAUUUGCAGAGGGCGCUUUGGCAUUGGCAGCGGUCCAAGUUCCUUGGAACAGGACGUCACAGAGGGUGAGAAUCCCGUACGUGGUCGCUAGCCUUUACCGUGUAAAGCCCCUUCGACGAGUCGAGUUGUUUGGGAAUGCAGCUCUAAAUGGGAGGUAAAUUUCUUCUAAAGCUAAAUACUGGCCAGAGACCGAUAGCGCACAAGUAGAGUGAUCGAAAGAUGAAAAGCACUUUGGAAAGAGAGUUAAAAAGCACGUGAAAUUGUUGAAAGGGAAGCGCUUGCAGCCAGACUUGCCUGUAGUUGCUCAUCCGGGUUUCUACCCGGUGCACUCUUCUAUAGGCAGGCCAGCAUCAGUUUGGGCGGUUGGAUAAAGGUCUCUGUCAUGUACCUCCUUUCGGGGAGAUCUUAUAGGGGAGACGACAUGCAACCAGCCUGGACUGAGGUCCGCGCAUCUGCUAGGAUGCUGGCGUAAUGGCUGUAAGCGGCCCGUCUUGAAACACGGACCAAGGAGUCUAACAUCUAUGCGAGUGUUUGGGUGUCAAGCCCGAACGCGUAAUGAAAGUGAACGGAGGUGGGAACCUUUCGGGGUGCACCAUCGACCGAUCCUGAUGUCUUCGGAUGGAUUUGAGUAAGAGCAUAGCUGUUGGGACCCGAAAGAUGGUGAACUAUGCUUGAAUAGGGUGAAGCCAGAGGAAACUCUGGUGGAGGCUCGCAGCGGUUCUGACGUGCAAAUCGAUCGUCAAAUUUGGGCAUAGGGGCGAAAGACUAAUCGAACUAUCUAGUAGCUGGUUCCUGCCGAGCCCCUCUUCUCAAGAUAUA
This 951-nucleotide ribosomal RNA is filed under the name Stagonosporopsis caricae. RNAcentral's name for it is "partial large subunit ribosomal RNA". It matches the Rfam family "Eukaryotic large subunit ribosomal RNA", at positions 21 to 982 of the family's 3401-position model. Lineage: Eukaryota; Fungi; Ascomycota; Dothideomycetes; Pleosporales; Didymellaceae. The record is from RNAcentral.